GGGAGCUGGAGGGGAGGUGGGGUUGAGGGAACCCAGGCGUUGGCACCUGCGUCUGUAAUGCUGCUGAUUUGCCCGCACCUCACUCUCCGGAAAGUAGGUUUCCUACCUCUAAAUUCUGUGUGUUCCUUGAUUGACUUGAUUUGGGUCCCCUGGACCAAUCAACUGUAGCCACAGAGUGAGUCUCCGUGAACACGAUGGCUCCUCGCCCCGCUGGGCUCGGGCCUAUAUUAACAUCAGGCGGGAAGAGACCGUGUUUCCCCAACACACGUCAGGACUGCAGCCCCUGACCCGAGCCUGAGUCCUGGUGACGUGCCCCCAGCCUGCUGAUGUCCCAGGGCCCUCCACCUGCCUUGAGAAGGCGCAGGCUGAAGGAGAGGGCCAGCUGGGACCUCCCGUGUGAUGUUCAAGGGCCCCACAAAGUUCUGCUCUACCAUGGCCAUGAAAAAGCUCCCUGACUCGGCUCCUGGACAACACCAUCCCUCGGGUUUCCUGUUAUCCUGAGAAUUGAGUGUCUGCAUCCAGGAUAUUUUCUCAGUAUAGACUUCCAGAGGUGGAAUUUCUGGAUCAAAGAAAGUGGACAUUUACAAGAUUCUCAGCACACUGCCAAGUGCACUGCCCUCGAAGCCAGGUAUCUUUUGUCCCAGAGGAGCAGAAAAUGUGUCCACAGGAUGCUGAAGACCUUGCUUCAGAGGUCAGAAGACCUUGUGCAGAGUUCAGUGACAAAGGCGGAUGGGCAGUCUUCAUCCAUGAACCCAACAGAUCUAUUCUGCACUUCUGUUGCAGCGGCUAUGGUCUUCUGCACACACGGCCUCCCGUAACCAAGGCAGAGUCAGGUGGAUUCACAGUUGUGUCAAAAGUGGGCUUUGCUUCUGUCCUAAGGGAUCUGUUAUAGGGUGCUUUUUUCUAUUCAGGCCUCAGCAAUUUCUAGACCAUCUUUCUUCCAGAGUACACCUCUCACUCAUCUUCAAUGUUAACUGCUAACAUGUUUUGCAAACCUGACCAUAUCUGCGCCCUGUUCACUCCUGUAAGUCCUUCCAAGGUCUCUCUCCCACUCACAAGGCAACAUCCAGGCCCUAAAGAAUGGCAGCCAGACCCCCCAUUACCUGGUUCUUUGUAGUCUCUGGAUCCAGCCUCAUCCUGUUCACUUCUGCACAGGACUCACGUUCCAGGUAUAACAGCACACCGGAAGUUUCUACACGCACCUCUGUUUCUCUGCAUUUCUCACCCCUUCAUCCGGCUCACUCCUUCAGAACCAGGCUCAGAAUUCCUCCUCCAAGGAUCCUUCCCUGACCUCACUCAGGCCUUAAGAUCUCCUUCCACUGUGGACUUUCACAGCCUGAGCAGAUUGAACACGUUUUCUAUUGUGGUGAGUGUCCUCCAGGGCAGUGGCUGGGCCUGGCUCGCCUCUAAAUCUCUGGCACUGUGCCUGCAGUGUAGCGUAAACCCAGAGAACAUGUGUGGAAAGAAUGAUGGAAUGCACGAAGGUGCAUCACUGCCCGGAUGCUGAGGUCCGGAUGCUCACCAUCAUCCUGUCCUGACGUCUCCACUUGUCACCCAUAGAGGACAAUGUCUAAUGGACAACAGCUGUGAAUUCAAUGCUCCUUCGCUGGAGGAAGGCACGGCCUGCCCCUGGGGGGUCCACAGAGUGCUCAUGUUGAGAGCGCUGAAUAUAGAACUGCUUGCUAAGUACUUUUUGACUUGGAGAGAAAAAGAAUAAUAAUUUUAGCUAUCUGAAAACUAAGAGGUGGCCAGAGUGUUUGGUUUGAAGUUAAAGACCAGGAGGACUGCUUAUCUUAAGCAUCUUUAAAGAUCUUUAAUGUUGGCCAGAAGAGAUUUUUGGAUCACAGGAGGACCUUAGAAAUAGAGGCUGGCGAAUUCUGUGCAGCCUCAGUGCCAGGGCUCCGGGGGUCUGAAUUCAUCCACAGACUGCGACAUUCCCGCAGUGUGUGCCCUGAUUUGUUAUGUGAUAGCAAACCAAUAAAAACACCCAAGCCUGCAGCCCUCUCUCUCACGCAAAGGGAUGGAGAAAAGCUUUCUGCUUGAAACUCCCUCAUAGGUCUCAAGAAGUGGAAGAUGCUUUCCGGCUUGCUGGUGAGAAGGCAGGGUGCUUUAAAGGGCUCUGAGCCCAGUUACUUCGCGUGUUGCCAGGGGUACACGCAUGUGCACGUUUAUUCAACAAGUGUCUCCUGAGCGCUCGCGGGCCAGACGCUCUGCUCUCCAUGGGCUUCUCACACUUCUCAUAUCUUGCGAGUGAGGCACGACCUGCCCUUUGCUCUGGACUACCUUUUCAGGGAUGUUUGUGUAGCAAGCAGCCUUGGAAGAUGGAGGAAGGGCCUCCCCCGGAGCAGAGGGCAGGCCUGCUCGCUCCCCAUUGAGAGUCUCUGCUUCGCUAGCUCAGGGCUCCUCUUCUGGAACUCAACCUGCCAUGUGGGCAAGCAUCCGUCUGGGACUGUCCACACUGCCACGUGGGACUGGGGGACGAGGAGAACUGAUGCAACGUGCUAAUGCUCAUGCCCUUGUUGUGCUGAGGGUAACAAAGUUCUCCGUCUUGGACCCAGGAGCCUCGCGGCUUCUGUCAGCAGCCACGAAGUGUUACAGGCAAGCAGGUCACGUUGCGCAGCCUUCACAGUUCCUCACACGCUUAUAUCCUUACUGAAUUUUAUAUUCAAAACACCCUAAAAUGCAAAUAUUUUUAUCUUCAUUUUGUUGAUUAGAACUGAAGCAGAGAAGUUAAGUAACUCUUCCCACGUCACAGAGCUCGUUAGUGCCAGAGGGGAGAUUUUUGUUCCGCCCCCCACCCGUCUCACUCCAGAACCACACUCUUUCCAUGAUAUGUUGACGUGUUAAAGUGCAAACACCGCAGUGCCUGUAGUUCUGUUCAUGGGCUGGGCCCGUUCAAAUCCUGUGGGCCCUAAAUCAUUGCAUUGCUGUGAUGAUAAAAGUGCUCAGGCAGAGAACGGAAAACGAUUGAGCAACGUCUCUCCCCAAGGACACACACAGGACAAAACCACUGGGAGUCCCUCCCAUGGAAGGCCGUUCUCUCUCAUAUUUACAGAGCGGUUCGCUCGGAGCCCUGACCUACUGCCCUUUCUCCUGGUGGACAGAGGGAAGGUGUCUUCCACCAGGCAGGAGGGGUCGGGUCAGGGGACAUCCAGACUCGACAACUGGGCCGCUGGAGCAGUGGGCGUGCAUGAGGCGUGUCUCCAGCCCUUGGGCAGGGUCCAAACCUGGAUCAGCCUUUAGAAGCCCCCUUGUACAUUUCCACAGUGCAUUUGAUCUUGUGUCCUGUUGAAUUUGAUCAUUCCCAUGUCCUUAUGACAAAGACCGACCUGUUCCUUCAGCGGUUCCCUAUUGCCCAUGGGGCGAAGUCCUAUUUCUUAGCCUGGGCCCAAGGCCCUCCGUGGUCCAGCCUCAGUUUACGGUGCCCCAACCCAAACCGCCCUCUCCUCUGCAGUCUUUUCCAACUCCGCUUGUUCCCCAGGUGGAACCUGCCCCUCCAGUUCUCCUUGGUGUUCACAUUUAUCUGGAUCACUUCCCUCACGGCAUCCGGAACACCUUAGGGCUGCCUACAUUUGCAUGUUUGUCUUCUCCACCGAGCCAUGAACCCCUUGAAGCGGGGCCUGUUAUAUUCAGGCGUCAUCCCCACACUUACAGAGGCACCUAAUGCAUGUUCGUGGAUUGCAGCUGUGGACUCAGACACACAAACACAAUGUGCAUUGAUCGAUUUGUC
Equus caballus (horse) is the source of this 3730-nucleotide long non-coding RNA. Lineage: Eukaryota; Metazoa; Chordata; Mammalia; Perissodactyla; Equidae. The record is from Ensembl.